CGUUAGCUCAGUUGGUAGAGCAGCUGACUCUUAAUCAGCGGGUCGCAGGUUCGAUCCCUGCACGG
Molecule: transfer RNA, 65 nt
Filed under: marine eukaryotic metagenome
Rfam family: tRNA
About the family: Transfer RNA (tRNA) molecules are approximately 80 nucleotides in length. Their secondary structure includes four short double-helical elements and three loops (D, anti-codon, and T loops).
Source: RNAcentral